Dipodomys spectabilis (banner-tailed kangaroo rat) is the source of this 291-nucleotide long non-coding RNA. RefSeq lists it as uncharacterized. The record is from RefSeq and is a predicted model, not a curated record. Lineage: Eukaryota; Metazoa; Chordata; Mammalia; Rodentia; Heteromyidae. The transcript has 3 exons.
CUUAAUUGUUAAUAUUAACAUUGUAUACAGCAUAGCCCAACUAUAAUAGGAUCCAUACUAGAUAAUCCUAGAUAGUGUUAGAUACUGGAAAGUGUCACUAUGGCCGUGACCAGGAGAGGGCACUCAGUCCAGCCUGGGCUUUUCUCUCCCCAAGGCCAAACCCAUGGCAGCGUUGGGUGUGUGGUGAUUGUCCUGUCCUACACUGCAGAGAGCUCUCCUUAAGAACAAAAAGAGGCCUCAAGACAGUCUGCCUACUUAUUACGAGCUUUCCUUUAUUUUUUUAAUUUUUUG